UAGGAAUGGAGCGCUGUGUCUUUAAGGGGGACUCGCCCGGAGGUUUCCUCACAGGACAAAAUGUCUGCGAGGAUCUUGGAGGUGAUCGGCGAUCCCAGGCUCGCAGCUCUCCUCCUGCUUCUUCGGGGGUGAUGGGUACUGCUGAUGGCUCUACAGAACUCAGAAGUCACACUGCAGUGUUCCUACCUGAGAACUUGGGUUGGCUGGAAACUCUGAGGCAGUGACAGAGAUCCCCACCCCCCAAGGCCCUCAGGACAUGGCCCAUCAUCUAAUUUGAAGGCGCUGCACGGAGAAUGAGGUGCGACGAGCCGGCCUCGACCAUGGAAGAGAGCGGCGGGCCGGACGGGGCCGCGGGCCGCCUGGGGGCACCGUACUC
This is a non-coding RNA of Vicugna pacos (alpaca), 376 nucleotides long. The record is from RefSeq and is a predicted model, not a curated record. Lineage: Eukaryota; Metazoa; Chordata; Mammalia; Artiodactyla; Camelidae.